Molecule: ribosomal RNA, 254 nt
Filed under: uncultured bacterium
Lineage: Bacteria
Description: partial 16S ribosomal RNA
Rfam family: Bacterial small subunit ribosomal RNA
Source: RNAcentral
UACGGAGGGAGCUAGCGUUGUUCGGAAUUACUGGGCGUAAAGGGCGCGUAGGCGGCCUGAUAAGUAGGGGGUGAAAUCCUGCGGCUUAACCGCAGGGCUGCCUUCUAAACUGUCAGGCUCGAGCACAGUAGAGGCAGGUGGAAUUCCCGGUGUAGCGGUGGAAUGCGUAGAGAUCGGGAAGAACAUCAGUGGCGAAGGCGGCCUGCUGGGCUGGUUGCUGACGCUGAGGCGCGACAGCGUGGGGAGCAAAGAGG